This 267-nucleotide ribosomal RNA is filed under the name uncultured Sphingobacteriales bacterium. Its description in RNAcentral is "partial 16S ribosomal RNA". It matches the Rfam family "Bacterial small subunit ribosomal RNA", at positions 1117 to 1382 of the family's 1533-position model. The record is from RNAcentral. Lineage: Bacteria; Pseudomonadati; Bacteroidota; Sphingobacteriia; Sphingobacteriales.
GCCAGCGGGUAAUGCCGGGAACUCUAGCGGGACUGCACGGUAAGGUGAGAGGAAGGUGGGGAUGACGUCAAAUCUAGCACGGCCCUUAUGUCCAGGGCUACACACGUGUUACAAUGGCCGGUACAAAGGGCAGCUACACCGCGAGGUGAUGCUAAUCUCGAAAGCCGGUCUCAGUUCGGAUCGAAGUCUGCAACCCGACUUCGUGAAGUUGGAUUCGCUAGUAAUCGCAGGUCAGCAUACUGCCGGUGAACUACAUUCCCGGGCCUU